UACAGAGGUGGCGAGCGUUGUUCGGAUUUACUGGGCGUAAAGGGUGCGUAGGUGGUCGCCUAUGUCGGAUGUGAAAGCCCACGGCUUAACCGUGGAAGGUCAUUCGAAACUGGGCGACUUGAGUGCAGGAGGGGAGAGCGGAAUUCUUGGUGUAGCGGUGAAAUGCGUUGAUAUCAAGAAGAACACCGGUGGCGAAGGCGGCUCUCUGGAAUGCAACUGACACUGAGGCACGAAAGCUGGGGGAGCAAACAGG
This 253-nucleotide ribosomal RNA is filed under the name uncultured bacterium. RNAcentral describes it as "partial 16S ribosomal RNA". It matches the Rfam family "Bacterial small subunit ribosomal RNA", at positions 524 to 776 of the family's 1533-position model. The record is from RNAcentral.